Molecule: long non-coding RNA, 3696 nt
Organism: Trematomus bernacchii (emerald rockcod)
Lineage: Eukaryota; Metazoa; Chordata; Actinopteri; Perciformes; Nototheniidae
Exons: 2
Source: RefSeq, a predicted model, not a curated record
GGGCAUUUAGAUACAGAUUCUAAAUGCCUUGCUUUCUAGUAUGACUUUAUUUUAUUUAUAUUCCUAUUUGUAAUGCUGAAUAAUACAAGUGAUGUAAACUGUAGAUUCCUGAACGUGCAGUGCAAGCAGUGUCCCUCACUUUCAGGCCACAGGCUUGAUGCACCAGCACGGCACUUACCCCGAGUCUAAUUUGCAACACAAUUAAACUUGUGAAAUAUUUUAAUAAACAUUUUAACUGUAUUCAACAGUGAUAACCAGAUAAUUUGCCCCUCUUAUUCAAACCACCUUAUGAUUUCUUCAAAAGAUAGACAGGAACAUGGGCAGGAUGUUUAUACAGCAAAAUGUAAACAUUUUCCCUGGCUUCUUUAAAUAAAAAAUCAAGCAAAAGCCCCGUUAGACCAGUUAAUACUCAAUCGGAUGCAAUAUGCCCUUCUCUUCGCUGCGUCUUGUGUGAUGUUGGACUUUUUUGCAUAUGAAUAUUGUUUGUGUAAUGCAGUCAUAAUAUUUACGCAGGGACGCAGGAGGAGUAGAGACCAAACUGUGCCGAACUGUGAGCACAGAAAGUCGGACCGGGAUCUGAGAUCGACUCCUGCUGCAGUUUACCAUCGAAUGAUCUAGGAUUCAAGUCUGGAGUGGGCAGGCAUGCGGCUUUGGCCACAGGAAGCAGUGAAUUCUUGGGAGAAUGGAAGAUGUCUUAUGGGGAGACAUACUGGCCUCCCCACCCACUCACCACCCCAAAAUGACACCUGACCCCUUCGUGUGUUUAUAUCAGACCAUGGAAGUGAGAAAUAGUGAUGAGUCACUCUGGCUGUGUGUUUACACUCCGGAGUCACGCAAGGAAGGAAAUCAGCCACGGUCUGCUAAAAGUGGCGAGGUGAGAGAGAAUGGCUGCAGUCCCCCAGCGCUGCAGUGAUUUACCUCCAGCCAACAUUUAUUUCAUGUCAUCUCUGCUGCGAAGACUUAAGACCAACAGAAAACAGCAGCAUUAGCAGAGAAGUGGACUGUAGUCUAGGAAAGGUAACUUUAAAUGUUUAAGUUUUCAUUAAGAAUGAUACUUUAGACGUUUAAUCCUCAUUAGAUACACUCUGUUGAUCACAUCCAGUUGCUUUCUAAUCAAGGCAGGUGAAACACAGAUCACUGUGUGGAUUUGAAUGAAAACAUGCAUCUCAACACAAAAACUAAUUUCAGCGUGAUGACGAUUCAUUUCCCUUUGUAAUGUAUUUUGUCAUUUUCACAGAAACCUUCUCAGCAACAAGGACAUCUGAGUAAUUGCUCAAUUUAAUUUCCUACCGACUGAUUACACGUUUUAAACCAACAGCAACGAUAUGAACUUAUUCAAAUGUUUGUUUUAUUAUUAUUGAUAUACUAUAUUAAUAUCACAAUUAAUGUAUAGAUGUUUAUUUUAUGACAUUAUUUAAAUGACUAUGCCUGCCACAUUUCAAAUAACUAGUUAUGGUUUCCUGCAAACAAUAAAAAAAUCAAUUGAUUAAAAAAAGUGUUCAAAGAUUUAAUGGCCCUUACUAAUUACCUUUCGAAGAAAUUAUUAUGCAGCGCUUAUUAUCUUAAUUGAUACUUAAAUACUAUUUGUUUGUCCCAGGUAUACAAGGUUACACCAAAUGUUAUAUACUUAUUCUAACUUGGAUGAAAUAAAAUGUUGAUUAUAUUAAAGCUAGCAAUAGUCACACCUAAUCAUUUCAGGGAAAUAUGUUGCUUUACAAUGUAAUAAUAUACUUGCAUAAAUGCAUUACUUUUUUUGGAAAUCCUAAAAUAAAAAUUACUUUGUAAAUGUUUAAAAUAUAAUAAAACAGAAAAUGUAGGUUUCAGAACAAGAUCACAAAUUAGUAUCUUUGUUUUGCACAUCAUCCAAAAGCCUGUGCAUCAGUUUAUAUUGACAAUAACACAUGGGCAUUUCCGGUUACUGUCCACUUUAUGGACUCAAAAAUAGAAUAUUAUAAUGAGAAUGUUAGCAUGGUAUUAUAAAAUGUGUUUUUGAGACAUGAAUCAGUGAUCAUACUGGCCACGUACUGCUGUAUGCUUUGAAAUGUAAGGAGUGUUUACUCUGGCUACCACCAGUAUUUUAUACGUAUUGUCAUUGUUGUCUUCCGCACUGAGCGACUUUACACCUUAGAUUGCAUAACUGUUGUUUUGAAGAGACAGCUAGAGUUACUGCAUUUGGGCUCUGAAAAGUGACACUUUAUUUCUUUAUAUCAUCACAUUGGUGCAAGUAACUUCAUUGCAGACUGUAGCGCGUAUCCUGUUACACUCCCCCAUACGCACCGCCACAAUGAGAGAGUCAGCAGCUUUUAUUUUGGCUCAUCUCUUGUGAAUUGUAAGUCCUGUCAGAGGCUUUGAUUGAUAGUUGUGUUUAUCACCAUAUUAUUAAGUAAUCAGGCUCCACCACAGCUAGGCCCAGAGCUCCUUAAUUUCAGCUAAAGCACACUGCUUCAUGCUAAUUAAAGGUUUGGCAAAAGUGUUUAUUUUUGUGAAUAAAGAAAAACAUAUAUAUAUAGUUUUUCCGUGUUUUAUGCAAGUGUGCUGAUUGUUGCAUUUGUUUCCUCCCUGGAAAAUAUUGUACCAGACUUCAGUAUUGUUAUCUGCACCAGAAACAUGGUUAUUUAAGGUCAGUGAAGAGAAGACAAUGCUGCAUAGACUGCAUGUACAGUGUGAGAAUCUUACAUUAUAUACUGUUAUUAUUACUGUGAAACCUGCAAAAUGUCAAAUAAGGUACCUACAGUACAGUACGUCCAUGUAUACCAUAAGGGGGUCAAUCAGUCUGUAUUGUGUAUCAGCAGAGGUUCUUCUCGCUUCGUUAAUAGAGCCCGCUGCAGGCUGCGUUUGUGUAUUCCUGAGGUAAACACAGUCAUGGCAAAGUGGACAUGCUGCUGAGUGUGUCCUGACUGGAGACAGAGAGCACUGUGGCACUGACGGAGACACUGGCAGCUCUCUAGAGGCAGGGUUAAUGUGAUGAAUGGCCAUUUGGUAAUGGGCCAUGUAUUAGGGUGAAAUUGCUCUUUUAAAAGCCUGGGCUCGAGCCGCUGCUAUGGGCAGUUUGAUUCACCAAUCAAUCAGGUGGCAGAUGUUUCAUGUUGGAUCAGUCAGCUCUGUCUCGCUCACUCUUACACACAAAUUAAGGAGGAAUUGCUUGAAUGACUGCACGUAGCAAAUGAAAGCGUAAAUUCACCUGGGGAGACAUUUGUGCAAAGUGUACAGAUUUUUAUAUCCCAUGCAAAUAUUUAUAUGUAACUGAAGAUGUUGAGAGAAUGUACAUUUGAAUUGAAUAAGUUAGGAUGAUGUGAUUAUGAAGUUUUUUCUGUGCAAUAAGGAAACCCAUAUUGCCCAAUACUGUCACACAUUAUCCUUGUAACUUGUCAAAUGUGCAUUAAUACUACCAUUUUUUAUUUAUAAUGUAUGUUACAUUAUUUUUGUGUCAACACAGUGCUUUAGUGUUUUGGACAUAAUAUCUUGAAUCUGUAUUUGUUUUAUAUUUUCAUUACGGUAAUACAAAUUCAGGUUGAAAUUGACGGGGGUGCCUGUUAAUAUUUGAUCUGGUUUUCCAUUGAUCAGGAUAAACUGCUUUACUGUAUACUUGCUAUGUUUUUCCACACACGCGCAAUGUUGUAAAUCACAGGAUACUGAUUUUAAAUUGUAUUAUGUUAACAUGUCUUCCUUUGAAUAAAGUCUGUACGUUGAAAUGAA